GCAGCAGGUACUGGGGCUGUCACAAUAAGUUGUUGAGCAGAGCUGGUGACAGCAAACUACCUCAUCUAGACAGGGGUGGGAGAUGUGGCAAAGCCAUUCAGCUGAAGGGUAAAACCUGAGCCUGAUCCAGCUUGAAGGCCACCAGACUGAGCUCCUCAGUCCCAUGGAGAUCUCUUGGAGAUAGCAGUAAUGAUCAGAAGCACUGACUUUAUACUGCACUGACUCCACGCAGAGCUGAAUGUGCAAGACCAGGCUCUCCUGUUUAACAUCACUGACACAGGAGCACAGGCCGUGGAUAUGGGCAAG
This 306-nucleotide long non-coding RNA is filed under the name Gallus gallus (chicken). Its description in RNAcentral is "long non-coding RNA NONGGAT003748". Lineage: Eukaryota; Metazoa; Chordata; Aves; Galliformes; Phasianidae. The record is from RNAcentral.